GGUCAAGCGAAUAAGAGCUAAUGGU
This 25-nucleotide ribosomal RNA is filed under the name Nostoc linckia. Its description in RNAcentral is "partial 23S ribosomal RNA". Lineage: Bacteria; Bacillati; Cyanobacteriota; Cyanophyceae; Nostocales; Nostocaceae. The record is from RNAcentral.